This 331-nucleotide unclassified non-coding RNA is filed under the name soil metagenome. RNAcentral describes it as "partial contains 5.8S ribosomal RNA, internal transcribed spacer 2, and large subunit ribosomal RNA". The stretch from base 1 to 120 matches the Rfam family "5.8S ribosomal RNA", at positions 35 to 154 of the family's 154-position model. The record is from RNAcentral.
GAUGAAGAACGUAGCGAAAUGCGAUAAGUAAUGUGAAUUGCAGAAUUCAGUGAAUCAUCGAAUCUUUGAACGCACAUUGCGCCCCCUGGUAUUCCGGGGGGCAUGCCUGUUCGAGCGUCAUUUCACCACUCAAGCCUCGCUUGGUAUUGGGCAUCGCGGUCCGCCGCGCGCCUCAAAUCGACCGGCUGGGUCUUCUGUCCCCUAAGCGUUGUGGAAACUAUUCGCUAAAGGGUGUUCGGGAGGCUACGCCGUAAAACAACCCCAUUUCUAAGGUUGACCUCGGAUCAGGUAGGGAUACCCGCUGAACUUGAGCAUAUCAAUAAGCGGAGGA